UACGUAGGGGGCAAGCGUUGUCCGGAUUCAUUGGGCGUAAAGAGCGUGUAGGCGGCCAGGUAGGUCGGUUGUGAAAACUGGAGGCUCAACCUUCAGAGGUCGACCGAAACCAUCUGGCUAGAGUCCGGGAGAGGAGAGUGGAAUUCCUGGUGUAGCGGUGAGAUGCGCAGAUAUCAGGAAGAACACCCGUGGCGAAAGCGGCUCUCUGGAACGGUACUGACGCUGAGACGCGAAAGCGUGGGGAGCGAACAGG
This 253-nucleotide ribosomal RNA is filed under the name uncultured bacterium. RNAcentral describes it as "partial 16S ribosomal RNA". It matches the Rfam family "Bacterial small subunit ribosomal RNA", at positions 524 to 776 of the family's 1533-position model. The record is from RNAcentral.